Molecule: ribosomal RNA, 253 nt
Filed under: uncultured bacterium
Lineage: Bacteria
Description: partial 16S ribosomal RNA
Rfam family: Bacterial small subunit ribosomal RNA
Source: RNAcentral
UACGUAGGGGGCAAGCGUUGUCCGGAUUUAUUGGGCGUAAAGAGCGUGUAGGCGGCUUUGCAAGUCCGUUGUGAAAACUCGAGGCUCAACCUCGAGACGCCGGUGGAAACUGCAAAGCUAGAGUCCGGAAGAGGAGAGUGGAAUUCCUGGUGUAGCGGUGAAAUGCGCAGAUAUCGGGAAGAACACCCGUGGCGAAGGCGGCUCUCUGGAACGCAACUGACGCUGAGACGCGAAAGCGUGGGGAGCAAACAGG